GACGAACGCUGGCGGCGUGCCUAAUACAUGCAAGUAGAACGCUGAAGGAGGAGCUUGCUCUUCUGGAUGAGUUGCGAACGGGUGAGUAACGCGUAGGUAACCUGCCUGGUAGCGGGGGAUAACUAUUGGAAACGAUAGCUAAUACCGCAUAACAGUAGAUGUUGCAUGACAUUUGCUUAAAAGGUGCAAUUGCACCACUACCAGAUGGACCUGCGUUGUAUUAGCUAGUUGGUGGGGUAACUGCUCACCAAGGCGACGAUACAUAGCCGACCUGAGAGGGGGAUCGGCCACACUGGGACUGAGACACGGCCCAGACUCCUACGGGAGGCAGCAGUAGGGAAUCUUCGGCAAUGGACGGAAGUCUGACCGAGCAACGCCGCGUGAGUGAAGAAGGUUUUCGGAUCGUAAAGCUCUGUUGUAAGAGAAGAACGAGUGUGAGAGUGGAAAGUUCACACUGUGACGGUAUCUUACCAGAAAGGGACGGCUAACUACGUG
This 495-nucleotide ribosomal RNA is filed under the name uncultured bacterium. RNAcentral's name for it is "partial 16S ribosomal RNA". It matches the Rfam family "Bacterial small subunit ribosomal RNA", at positions 28 to 507 of the family's 1533-position model. The record is from RNAcentral.